GAGUACAUGGGCCAGUGGUCUACGCCGUGGCGUUUAGGUACAAACUAAACAAGUUCCGCCAUCCGAGAGGGCGCAGGUUCGAAUCCUGCUGUACUCA
Molecule: transfer RNA, 97 nt
Filed under: Helicosporidium sp. ATCC 50920
Lineage: Eukaryota; Viridiplantae; Chlorophyta; Trebouxiophyceae; Chlorellales; Chlorellaceae
Rfam family: tRNA
About the family: Transfer RNA (tRNA) molecules are approximately 80 nucleotides in length. Their secondary structure includes four short double-helical elements and three loops (D, anti-codon, and T loops).
Source: Rfam by way of RNAcentral